RNAcentral lists this ribosomal RNA (253 nucleotides) under uncultured bacterium. RNAcentral's name for it is "partial 16S ribosomal RNA". It matches the Rfam family "Bacterial small subunit ribosomal RNA", at positions 524 to 776 of the family's 1533-position model. The record is from RNAcentral.
UACGUAGGGUGCAAGCGUUGUCCGGAAUUAUUGGGCGUAAAGAGCUCGUAGGCGGUCUGUCGCGUCGGAUGUGAAAAUCCAGGGCUCAACCCUGGACCUGCAUUCGAUACGGGCAGGCUAGAGUUCGGUAGGGGAGACUGGAAUUCCUGGUGUAGCGGUGAAAUGCGCAGAUAUCAGGAGGAAUACCGGUGGCGAAAGCGACUCUCUGGACGGCAACUGACGCUGAGGCACGAAAGCGUGGGGAGCAAACAGG